This 74-nucleotide transfer RNA is filed under the name Nocardia vulneris. Its description in RNAcentral is "tRNA-Met". It matches the Rfam family "tRNA". From Rfam's summary of the family: Transfer RNA (tRNA) molecules are approximately 80 nucleotides in length. Their secondary structure includes four short double-helical elements and three loops (D, anti-codon, and T loops). The record is from RNAcentral. Lineage: Bacteria; Bacillati; Actinomycetota; Actinomycetes; Mycobacteriales; Nocardiaceae.
UGCGGGAUAGCUCAGCUGGUUAGAGCGCCGGACUCAUAAUCCGGAAGUCGCGGGUUCAAAUCCCGUUCCCGCCU